UGGGGAAUAUUGGACAAUGGGCGAAAGCCUGAUCCAGCCAUGCCGCGUGAAUGAUGAAGGCCUUAGGGUUGUAAAAUUCUUUCGCUAGGGAAGAUAAUGACGGUACCUAGUAAAGAAGCCCCGGCUAACUCCGUGCCAGCAGCCGCGGUAAUACGGAGGGGGCUAGCGUUGUUCGGAAUUACUGGGCGUAAAGCGUACGUAGGCGGACUUUUAAGUUAGAGGUGAAAUCCCGGGGCUCAACCCCGGAACUGCCUUUAAAACUGGAAGUCUAGAGUUAUGGAGAGGUAAGUGGAAUUCCUAGUGUAGAGGUGAAAUUCGUAGAUAUUAGGAGGAACACCAGAGGCGAAGGCGGCUUACUGGACAUAUACUGACGCUGAGGUACGAAAGUGUGGGGAGCAAACAGGAUUAGAUACCCCCGUAGUCC
Molecule: ribosomal RNA, 424 nt
Filed under: uncultured prokaryote
Description: bacterial SSU rRNA
Rfam family: Bacterial small subunit ribosomal RNA
Source: RNAcentral